This 7539-nucleotide long non-coding RNA is filed under the name Aquilegia coerulea. RNAcentral describes it as "long non-coding RNA (ACOE_LNC002242)". The record is from RNAcentral. Lineage: Eukaryota; Viridiplantae; Streptophyta; Magnoliopsida; Ranunculales; Ranunculaceae.
AAUUAUCCUUGAAAUUGGCAAUCUGCGGUCAUUAACAGAACACAUUUUUUAAGUCAAAUUGAAUCAACCAAUAUUAGUAGAAAAUCAACCAGUUUAAUAGAAAAUGAAGCUAAGAAUGAUGAUCAACGUUAAUGAUAUAUCAUGUAGGGCUUCUGACCCAGUAAAUAUCAAAUUCUGCAAUAUUUUAACAAAUCAAGUACUUCACAUGUACUAAGACUAUGACUAUUAACUUCCAGUAAAUUUUAAACAAACAAUCAAAAUACUAAAAGAUCUAUCAGUUGUGGUGUUCUCAUCAAGUUUUUGUUCCACAGACAUGUCCCUUUAUAGAGGUAGAUUCAGUCAGAUAAUGAGCAUUUCGUAGUUACUCGUAGUUAUAAUUGGAAUAAUUAUACAUUCAUAUAUACGUCUGUUUUGUCAAACAUAAGUGAUCUAGCUAAUUCUUUGAAGUAGGAAGUCAGCCAGAUGCGUAUUUACCCUGUCUUCUAAAAAAUAUCCACACUCUAACAUGUAUUGUGAUUCAAAAUAAUCUCAAAGGGAUUUCUAUAGCUCAAAUGAUAACAUGUUUCAUGUUCAAUGUGUCAUCAGAAGGUUUGGUUACUACUGGUGAAAGUGAUCUGAACUUGCAUUACAAGCAUUCAGAGCUGGUGGAGAGUCUAAAAGCUUCAAAUUUUACCUGGAAUUAUGCUAUAUUUUUGCAGAUAUCAAGGUCCAAUCUGGGGAAUUGUUUCUUGGUUGGGGAGAUGGAUAUUGUAGACAACCAAAAGAAGGAGAGGAAUCUGAGGAUACCUUUUUUGUUAAUGGAAGACACUAAAAAUAUGAGAAAGAGGGUACUUCGGAAGCUCAAUAUGUAAUUUGGAUGAUUUGAAUAACAAAUUUAUGUGAUUGAGUUGGACCAAGUUACAGACAGACACAGAGAUUAUCUUCCUAACAGAUUAUCAUCCUCAUCCCCCACAGAAACAGGGGUGGUUCAGCUGGGUUCAGUUAGGUCCAUACCUGAAAACUUAGAGGUGUUGCAGAUGAUAAGGUCCAUGUUCUCCAGAGUAUCCUCACCCGUCUCAGUCUUGCCAAUAUCAAUUGUAUCUGGACUAAAUGAGUAUCCCCAACUUUUCUAAUCGUUGUCUUUUGUUUUUGGCCUAUUGUAUUCAAAGCAAUCUGUACCCAGAAACUUUGUUGAACUUUUGAAUGUGCAUUUUGUGUUUCUUCUUGCAAAGGUGACAGAAACAUUGGUUAGUUCAUCCUGGAAUAUAUUGUAAUAAUUUGUCAGAUAUAUACACCAUUAAUUAACCUAGUGCAUUCUUUUUACCGACAUGUUUUGUGUAUUCUCAAUCUUGAGAUUAGACAGAAUAAAAUACACCCUGGAUAUUAAGCUUGAUAGCGUUUUCAGAAUCCCACUUUUAUUCUUAUGUUAUAGACUUCUUUGCCGAUCGUACAAGGUUGCGUGCUUAAUAACUGCAGUUGCGGAAAUCAUUUUCAAGGUUUCACACUACAAUCUUCACUUCAUUAUCAGCGGAGUUGAUUCCAAACAACCUAUGACAACACCAUAGAUAAUAUACUUCAUAUUUUUAUUUUUUAUUUUUGGUAUGAUAGCGGGGUUGUUGAAGGGGACCCCUACCCCUAAAAAUUGUUGUGGUAAGCUUGUUUUUAAUGAGAUCAGUAACUCGGAAUAUACUUCAUAUACAUCCUGCAGAGUGAGGAAUAGUAUUUUUUUGCUCGGUUCUGAACAUAACUUGGAAAGCUUAUUCAUGAACUUAAACUUAGUUUAGUCCCACACCCCCACUCCCACAUUGUUACUUACAGACUAUUUUUAAAUAAUUUAUAUAUACCAAUAUCAGUUGUAUCUGGACUAAAUGAGAAUGUUAUAGUGCCUAUACCAGAGAGACACUGGACGAAUGCCAUAAGAUUUUUGGGCAAGAUUUUAACCUUUGUGGAUCUUAGCUUAACGAAAAGCUCCUAGAACUAAAGGUGGAGUUUAGAACAUGGGAUAUGUUCUCUAAUGGGAAUAGGCUUCAAUUUGUUAACAAUCGAAAAGGGCCUCAAGUUUUGAGUUGACCCCCUAAUUGUGGUUUAAAACCAGCAAUGACUUUAGGGGAUUAUGUUUCUCAAGCCUCAGUUAACAGUUAAGGUAUUCUUCAAAACCGCACUUUGUUUUCAGUCUUAUAAUAAAAACAAAUUCCCUAUUUGUUUUAGGAUGAUCAUCCUUAUAUCUUGCCCAUGCUUAAACCACAAUUUGGAUACGUCAAGGUUAAUAUCCAAUUUUAUCUGUCACGGGUAUUUCUAGGAACGAAAAUAAUCUACUCAUUAACCAAAUUAUGAUUAUAUAAUUUCGUAAAUAAUUUAUGAUUAAGAAGUUUUUAGUAUGACUGGCAAUUUCUAGUAGGACCUGCUCAAUGGCAAUUUCUUGUUUUCACUUGGAGUGGUCAUCAAAGGCAUAGCUGGAUAGAGACAACUGAGGUAUAUUUUGCUUCAUCUUUCUGUGACUAUGCUAAAAGACUUGGGAUUGAUCUUCUUAACCAUGACAAAUACUUGAGUUGAGUAAUGUAGUUUGUUUAGCCCUAAACCUCAAGUCUUUAGAAAAGACAUUAUGACUAUCAAGCAGAGGCAUCUGGAUUUGAUAUAGAUGCACUUUUCCUUUGGGGUUUCCAAUAGUUAUGUUUUUAGGAAUUUGUCUCACAUUGAUAUAAAGACAUCAUAUGUCUUUCUUACUCUCUGUAUUUGUCUACAUAAGAAACUAAAGUUUUGUUGUCGACAAUCUCAAUGGCCUCCAAUAUAAUUAGUGACAGGUACCAUACAUAAAAUGUAAGCCAUACAUAGAUUGGUUCCCUUGUUGAACUGUUAAUUUUUAUAUAGUGAUGAGUUUUGCUUACAGUUAUUGAAUACAUAAAAUUUAGAGAGAGCCAGUACAAUACCUGAAAUGCUAAGUAGAAUUGAAACUGGACCAUUUAUGUAAUGGAAGAUGAAGAAGAAAACGGAAAAGAGAGCACCUGAGAAAAAAAAAAAAAAGUUCAGUUAUACUACUGUAAGAGUAACCUAGCAGAUAUUUGCGAGCAAAAGAGAAGAAGAGAUUAGCUGUAUAUAAAAUCACUGAUGAAAAACACAUGUUUCAUGGACAGCUAUGACAUAAUUACAAACCUUGGUCUCUAUUGACCAAAGUUACAAUCACAAAAUUUGGAGCUCUAAAAUAAAACCACAAAACUUUUCAAAGCUUAGAUUUGGUGUUUACAAAAAUUAGAGGAAAUACGCAGAGCUAUUUCAAUUCGGGAAGUUUAUUAGAGAUAAUGUCAAAAGCCAAAGCGCUAAUUAGGUUUGCAAGAAUACGAGCCGAAGAGCUAAAUCUCAAAAGUCAUAUCAUAUCCUCUCUUCGGCUACAUACUGUUGCACCUAUGUUUAAGGAGAGUAAUUACUACAUAGCAGUAUAGUUUACCUCUAUUAAGAAGAGUAAUAUCGUCUAUAUUAGUAAUUGCUUUCAUAGGUCCAAUAUUUAUGUACAUGCCCAAUGGAAGUGUCAAGACGUUGCUGCAUUACAAUAUCCAUCAAAGAUCUUCGACUUUACUCUGGUUUACAGAUUUAUUGAGCAACAAUCUGGACCAUGGUUAUCAAUCUGUUGGUCAUGGUAAUUGAUUUAGUCAGCGAAAUCAUUUAGCCAGAAAGAAAAAUGAACUAAGUAUGUAAAGAAAGAAGUUGAGACGGAGUUGUAGAUAAGGACCGAGAACAGAAAGCCAAAAGAAAUCCCAGCUGAGCACUGUGAUUAACUUCAAGUCUUCUUUUGUAAUCUAUUGUGGAGAUAGGCAAGUAAAUUAAACAGAAAAGUAAGGGCUUAUUACAAAACUUCUGAUAUCUGUUAUCUGUAAAACACUAUUUUUUUUUAUUUUAAAUUGUAAAAUCCAUUUGCUUAGCUUGGACUUUUAGCUAAGCAAACACAUAAUAUUUAUAGCAGUUACAAUAGAAGGCAGUUUUAAGAGUAAACGUUUUUUAAGCAGGAUAGUCUGCAAAUUACAAUAUUGCAUAGCUGUCUUAAUACGAAAUUUCUGAAGCAAUUUUGCACAACUAUUAGAAAAGUACUAACCUACUUGUCACUAUGCUUAUAUUCUUACAACUACACAAGUGUCCAUCAACUGGUUUCACUAUGUACAUUUCCAAAUUUCGUACACCACACUCCCAAACAACUUACACCAAUCUCUCAUUUCCAGUCCAGCCUUUUAGAAUUUCAAUGACCACACCAUCACCAGUCUCCUCCACCCACUCCCACAUAUGAUUGGUUCCUUCCUAACUAUGUAGUGUGCUCCAUACACACCAUCUCUAGUUCAAAUAUUUGAAUUACUAUAAUCUCCACACUGCGGGUCAGGGCCACCCUUAUGAUACACACAUUCAAGGCACAUGUUAAAGAAGCAAGGACGUAAUUAUAAAAUACAGUAUAACUAGAAAUGUAAUCAGGGUAAUGCAUCUGUUGGUCAUGGUCGAGGGCUGACCUCGAGGGCUUUUGUUGAUCGUUCAAAUGUCAUUGAUUUAGAACAGUCAGAUAAGAUAUUCAGGCAUGCAAGGAAGAUCAGACUACCAUAAUCUAAAAUUUAUCACAUCAAUAUCUUAAGCAUUAAUAAAUUAAGUAGCUACCAUAAUUUAGGUUUCUUAGCUUGAUCUUCCGAAGCAGUAAUUACCAUAUUCAGUAACUUUUUAUAAACAAAUUUUAAUAGAAAAAAAAAAAAAAACACACCAUUACAAUCCUGAGCAGCCUGAGUACAAUUACUCAUCGUCAGGUUCAUAACUAAAUGAAGCAAAACCAAGCUACUAUCAGUAAUUAAGUAGCCUUUCCUAUAUAAAAAUCAGAAAUUUGUAAGUAUCAAAUUAUAAUUCAGUAUAACAUAUAUCACAAAUUUAAGUUUCUAGUUGUAUGGAAAAGUAAUGCACACCACUAAAUUUAGUGAAUUGGAUAAGAAGGAAAACUAUUACCUGCUUUUAAAGAUUGGAGAAAGAGAGAUUGGCAGGGAUGCUUCAAAACUAUUAUUGAGAAAUAGAUUUAGAGAUAUUGAAUGCUUGGAUAGAGAAGAUAGAUUGAUCGAUAUUCUCACACAGAUUGAAAUUAGGUUUGGUUGAAGCAAAGGAUUCGUAGAGAGAAAGGGGAGAAAACAAUGGAGUAGGGCUUUCGAGAGGAAGAGAAAUAAGGUUUUGGAAAGAGGAAUAUAUACCGUGGACUUUUAAUAAAAUCUCAACCGUCAGAUCAAAUAUCAACAUCCUACGGACUUAGUUGUCUUUACGUUUGUCUAUAGACAAAUUUAUGUACCCGUUGUCGCUUAUAACUUAGAUAUAUAUAAGGGGAAGAUCAAUUAUACUUAAAUUAUUCAUUUUGAGUAAUUUAGUCCUUUGGCACCUCUCUCCUUUUCUCUCUCUUCUUCUCACUCAAAUCAAGUCCUAAAAUUCUUGACAUGGUUAAAUAGAGAGAGGAAUGCAAAUUACAUAAAUCAAUUGACACACUAAUUGGAUACGAUUCUGGUACUGAACUUUGUAUCUUUCAGCCCACCUACUUCAUGCUGUUGUAUAUAAACUCUUUUCCUCCAUCACUCUCCUUGCAUUAGCUGAUAAAUUCCAUAUUCUUUUACCUGAGUACAUGUUAGCUAGAACAGCAUAGUUUCCCAAACUCAUGCUACAUCUAAAUAGACUGAAGAUACAAGUGCAUUAUCAAACUUUCACAUAAACAUUUCCCACGGUUCUAAGUAUAUGUACACCAAUGAUGAAUGUCUAUGCUCAUCAUUAAGAUAGGUACAGACAAAAUGUUGAUGACCAGAAAUGCUGAACAAAUUUUUAAGGUUAAACCUAUUUCGUUGAGUCGGCACCGCUGGUACUACUGGGAUUUGGUAGUAGGUAUUAUUAAACUUAGUCGGCACCUUGAGUACUGUUUAGUUAAGAAUGUUUUCUGUGAAGUCAACCAAGCUGUUGAUCACUUGACUAGCCUUAGAGGGCUCCCAUCCCUUAACUCUGUAUAUUUUAAUAUUUUAUUUCUCCUUUGGAUGUAACUUUACAUUAUAUUCUGGAGAAGGAUAGACAAGGUGUGUUGUACUUAAGAUCUAAAUUCUGAAAGAACAGGUAGGGGUCUUGCCCAACCCUAAUCUUAACUGGGGGAUAAAAAAAAAUACACUUUGAUUUAUUUUCCUACAAUUUGGUAGAAUUUUUCUUGUAUAAAAUUAUUACUGGAGUUGUUUGUCUGACAGUCUCUAUUUUCUUACUUGUGGAUUUGUAUAUUCGGUAUAGUUGAAAACCUGUUUUACCCAUCAACUUCUAUCACAUCAGACUCCAAGAUAUCUAAUUCUUCUAAAUUAAUUUUUUAUGAUUCACUAAUAUUACGUAAAUAGUUAUAGUUCACUAUUUUCCCUAAAAUAGUCUAAUACUAAUUUCUUUCUUGUCUUUCCCACAGGACCUUUUGAAGUUUAAAGAAAGAGAAGAACUGAAGAAGUAAGCCACAACCACAACCAUAUACUGGUCAACUAUUGCAGGUUAUAGGAUCUUUUGAAGUUCAAAAUGUCUCAAGAUCUCAUUUUCAAAAUCAUCGACGAAGAAGCCAUUUUUUUCUUUUCCUUUAUCAGAACUUUAAUGAAAGAGAGAGAGAUAGAGAGGAUUACAUGUACUUUAGCAAAAAUACUGAAUAAACCCCAAAUCAACAAGUGAGUGGGGAUCACACAAUUGAGUAAAUAAGUAUUCUUUGUGUGAUCAAAAUUUAUUAAUUUUGUAACAUAUUAUAUAAGAAAAUACUUACAACUAUAAUAGAUAAUCGCUAUCAAAAUUCUUGAAUUGAAUCAAGAAUAAACAAAAUUGUAGGCGCACAUGCUGUUAUUGAAUUGAAUCAAGAAUAAAAAAAAAUAUCAAAUAAAAGCAAUUGCUAGAUAAAAAAUGUAUUGAAGAUUAAGAGUUAAAAAAUUACCCCAACGCUUUGAUAUUGCAACUAAACCUCUGAAUCAAAUACUUGCAGAUUGUGAUAUUGCAACUAAAUCUCUGAAUCAACUUCUCAAAGGGUACCUGAUUUAUUCGAUUGAUGAGUAAAAAAAUCUUCUCAAUCUUCUAUUAACGGUGAUAAAAAAAGAGAGUUUAAAGAAAGGGAAAGAUUGAAUAGCCAAUUUUGGUCAGAGGGAGAGAAAUCAAGGUUUGGAAGAGAUGUGGUCAGAGAGAGAUUGACGAAAGAGAUUGAAUACUAAAUUUUGAUAAAUAAAAUGCCCACUGUGUAACUUAAACCCAACUGUAACUUAAGCCCAACCGUAAGUUUAUUAACUUAUAUAAGUUAUAAAGAUACACUGUGAUCGAGAAAAUCCAAGGGUUCAGAUCUAAUUUCGACCUCCAACUUGAAAUCUGAGCCGUCCAAUGUCAAAUUUUAUAUAAGUUUGUCUCUCAAACUUGAGAUUGCCUUGUCCCUUAUAACUUAGAUGUAUGUUGUAAAUUUGCGUAUAUUGUACCUGAAUGGUAGCAACUACAUAAUGCUGGAUACUUUAGUAGUGAAACUCAUCUCCAAGGCUAACACGCAUCUGUAAUGAUAAUCCGUUUGUUCCACCAACUUUUGAC